This 422-nucleotide ribosomal RNA is filed under the name uncultured Ruminococcus sp. RNAcentral describes it as "bacterial SSU rRNA". It matches the Rfam family "Bacterial small subunit ribosomal RNA", at positions 355 to 794 of the family's 1533-position model. The record is from RNAcentral. Lineage: Bacteria; Bacillati; Bacillota; Clostridia; Eubacteriales; Oscillospiraceae.
UGGGGAAUAUUGCACAAUGGGCGAAAGCCUGAUGCAGCAACGCCGCGUGAGCGAAGAAGGUCUUCGGAUCGUAAAGCUCUGUCCUUGGGGAAGAUAAUGACGGUACCCUUGGAGGAAGCCCCGGCUAACUACGUGCCAGCAGCCGCGGUAAUACGUAGGGAGCAAGCGUUAUCCGGAAUUACUGGGUGUAAAGGGAGUGUAGGCGGGACUGUAAGUCAGAUGUGAAAUAUGCCGGCUCAACUGGCAGACUGCAUUUGAAACUGUGGUUCUUGAGUGAAGUAGAGGUAAGCGGAAUUCCUGGUGUAGCGGUGAAAUGCGUAGAUAUCAGGAGGAACAUCAGUGGCGAAGGCGGCUUACUGGGCUUUAACUGACGCUGAGGCUCGAAAGCGUGGGGAGCAAACAGGAUUAGAUACCCUGGUAGU